GCCAGGUGUGGUGGGCCAUGCCUGCAGUCCCAGCUUCUCAGGAGGCUGAGGUGGGAGGAUCACUUGAGCCCAGGAGUUCUGGGUUGUAGUGCACUAUGCCGAUCGGGUGUCUGCACUAAGUUUGACAUCAAUAUGGUGACCUCCAGGGAGCAGGGGACCACCACAUUGUCUAAGAAGGGGUGAACUGGCCCAGGUAGGAAACGGAGCAGGUCAAAACUCCCAUCCUGAUCAGUAGUGGGAUCACACCUGUGAAUAGCCACUGCACUCGAGCCUGGGCAACACAGCUAGACCGCAUCUCUU
Unclassified non-coding RNA from Callithrix jacchus (white-tufted-ear marmoset), 300 nucleotides. It matches the Rfam family "Metazoan signal recognition particle RNA". Rfam says of the family: The signal recognition particle (SRP) is a universally conserved ribonucleoprotein. It is involved in the co-translational targeting of proteins to membranes. The eukaryotic SRP consists of a 300-nucleotide 7S RNA and six proteins: SRPs 72, 68, 54, 19, 14, and 9. Lineage: Eukaryota; Metazoa; Chordata; Mammalia; Primates; Cebidae. The record is from Ensembl.